AGAGUUUGAUCCUGGCUCAGGACGAACGCUGGCGGCGUGCUUAACACAUGCAAGUCGAACGGAAAGGCCCUGCUUUUGUGGGGUGCUCGAGUGGCGAACGGGUGAGUAACACGUGAGUAACCUGCCCUUGACUUUGGGAUAACUUCAGGAAACUGGGGCUAAUACCGGAUAGGAGCUCCUGCUGCAUGGUGGGGGUUGGAAAGUUUCGGCGGUUGGGGAUGGACUCGCGGCUUAUCAGCUUGUUGGUGGGGUAGUGGCUUACCAAGGCUUUGACGGGUAGCCGGCCUGAGAGGGUGACCGGCCACAUUGGGACUGAGAUACGGCCCAGACUCCUACGGGAGGCAGCAGUGGGGAAUAUUGCACAAUGGGCGGAAGCCUGAUGCAGCAACGCCGCGUGCGGGAUGACGGCCUUCGGGUUGUAAACCGCUUUCGCCUGUGACGAAGCGUGAGUGACGGUAAUGGGUAAAGAAGCACCGGCUAACUACGUGCCAGCAGCCGCGGUGAUACGUAGGGUGCGAGCGUUGUCCGGAUUUAUUGGGCGUAAAGGGCUCGUAGGUGGUUGAUCGCGUCGGAAGUGUAAUCUUGGGGCUUAACCCUGAGCGUGCUUUCGAUACGGGUUAACUUGAGGAAGGUAGGGGAGAAUGGAAUUCCUGGUGGAGCGGUGGAAUGCGCAGAUAUCAGGAGGAACACCAGUGGCGAAGGCGGUUCUCUGGGCCUUUCCUGACGCUGAGGAGCGAAAGCGUGGGGAGCGAACAGGCUUAGAUACCCUGGUAGUCCACGCUGUAAACGGUGGGUACUAGGUGUGGGGUCCAUUCCACGGGUUCCGUGCCGUAGCUAACGCUUUAAGUACCCCGCCUGGGGAGUACGGCCGCAAGGCUAAAACUCAAAGGAAUUGACGGGGCCCCGCACAAGCGGCGGAGCAUGCGGAUUAAUUCGAUGCAACGCGUAGAACCUUACCCGGGCUUGACAUGGAUCGGGAGUGCUCAGAGAUGGGUGUGCCUCUUUUGGGGUCGGUUCACAGGUGGUGCAUGGCUGUCGUCAGCUCGUGUCGUGAGAUGUUGGGUUAAGUCCCGCAACGAGCGCAACCCUUGUUCACUGUUGCCAGCACGUUAUGGUGGGGACUCAGUGGAGACCGCCGGGGUCAACUCGGAGGAAGGUGGGGAUGACGUCAAGUCAUCAUGCCCCUUAUGUCCAGGGCUUCACGCAUGCUACAAUGGCUGGUACAGAGAGUGGCGAGCCUGUGAGGGUGAGCGAAUCUCGGAAAGCCGGUCUCAGUUCGGAUUGGGGUCUGCAACUCGACCUCAUGAAGUCGGAGUCGCUAGUAAUCGCAGAUCAGCAACGCUGCGGUGAAUACGUUCCCGGGGCUUGUACACACCGCCCGUCAAGUCAUGAAAGUUGGUAACACCCGAAGCCGGUGGCCUAACCGUUGUGGGGGAGCCGUCGAAGGUGGGACUGGUGAUUAGGACUAAGUCGUAACAAGGUAACCAAGGGCGAAUUCCACAUU
This 1504-nucleotide ribosomal RNA is filed under the name uncultured bacterium. Its description in RNAcentral is "bacterial SSU rRNA". It matches the Rfam family "Bacterial small subunit ribosomal RNA". The record is from RNAcentral.